CGACCAGCCACACUGGGACUGAGACACGGCCCAGACUCCUACGGGAGGCAGCAGUGGGGAAUCUUGGACGAUGGAGGAAACUCUGAUCCAGCCAUGCCGCGUGAGUGAUGAAGGCCUUCGGGUUGUAAAACUCUUUUACCAGGGAAGAUAAUGACUGUACCUGGAGAAUAAGCCCCGGCUAACUUCGUGCCAGCAGCCGCGGUAAUACGAAGGGGGCUAGCGUUGUUCGGAAUUACUGGGCGUAAAGCGCGCGCAGGCGGUUCUUCAAGUCAGGGGUGAAAGCCCAGAGCUCAACUCUGGAAUUGCCUUUGAAACUGUAGAACUUGAGUACGAGAGAGGUGAGUGGAAUUCCCAGUGUAGAGGUGAAAUUCGUAGAUAUUGGGAAGAACACCGGUGGCGAAGGCGGCUCACUGGCUCGUUACUGACGCUCAGGCGCGACAGCGUGGGGAUCAAACAGGAUUAGAUACCCUGGUAGUCCACGCCGUAAACUAUGAACGCUAGCCGUUAGGCAGCUUGCUGCUUAGUGGCGCA
Molecule: ribosomal RNA, 531 nt
Filed under: uncultured bacterium
Lineage: Bacteria
Description: bacterial SSU rRNA
Rfam family: Bacterial small subunit ribosomal RNA
Source: RNAcentral